UAGUAGUGUCUAGGAACUUGUGUUCCAGCU
Molecule: non-coding RNA, 30 nt
Filed under: Mus musculus (house mouse)
Lineage: Eukaryota; Metazoa; Chordata; Mammalia; Rodentia; Muridae
Source: RNAcentral